Non-coding RNA from Pelobates cultripes (western spadefoot toad), 1913 nucleotides. The record is from the annotation of a GenBank genome assembly. NCBI's taxonomy places the organism in Eukaryota, Metazoa, Chordata, Amphibia, Anura, Pelobatidae.
GACUACACUGAGCUGCAUAUUUAAAUCAGUAUACUACAACAAUGACCUAGCAUCAUGCACCAUCAAUAAUAAAAUCAAAGCACAUCCAUAUUGUAUGAAUGAUAAAAUAUUUAAACUUUAUAUAGCAUUACAGAUGAAAAAUAUGGGGUUUCUGUAUAUUCUAUAUACAUGGCUUUAAUGCAUAGUAUAUAUUUUCUUUUUGGAAGAAAAUACAGUAUUUGUUUGUAAGGGUGCUAACCCUGGAAUCUAAAUAUACAUGCAGCAAUGCGAAGGUAAGGCUAAAUAUGUUCAACUGGAUUAACACAGACAAUUUCCUUAUAACACAAACUGUAAAUAAGCACUUAUUUCAGAAAGAAUUUGGUUAAGGCUAAAAUAAAUUGAGCCAUGUUGGUAUAAUGGAAGGCAGCUGAUAUCUUUCAUCUGCAAUAGUUUUUUAGUAUAAUCUAUAGAGUCAAUGUUUAUAUAACAGUGCAUUUGACAUAUUAUGUAAUACACACAUAUAUACAUACACACAUACACAGUCGAUGCAGAGGUUUUGUGCAUACCUCUUAAAAGUCCAGAUUUUUUCAGGAUACCACUGAUUUUAAACCUUUGUCCUGCCAUUUGUUUUUUUUUUCUGCUCUUGCGCUUCUGAGAAACACUAAGAAAAGAUCCCAUAAUGCUUGGAAUAAGUGUGUUACUAAACACAGGAACAUCUGCCCAACACAAUUCUGGGGCAUUUCAAUCUAAAUGAGAGCACUUUAAAAGCACUAUGUACAUGUGCAGCCUUGGUUAGCUCCCCAUCUACCUGGAAGACAUGCAUGCUGGCAUGGCAGGGACUCUAUACAAUUCUAAACAUUACUGGCAUGCUCCCUACUCUGGCCCAGGCUCAGUCCAUUCCUGAUUUCAUCUUUUCCAAAAUUACAAGGUAUGGCUUGUGUAUUACUAAAUCAGGGGUGCCCAAAAAGGUAGAUCCCCAGAUAUUUUAAAACUACAGCUUUCAUGAUGCUCUCUCCUUCUAAAGGCAUGCAACGCAUCAUGGGAGUUGUAGUUCUACAACAUCUGGGAAUGUACAAAAUAAAGUACCCAUUAUAUAAUUAAAGGAUGAAAGGAAUUGCAAAUUGGUUUUCAAUUUGUUUAGUGAAUAUGAAUCUUAGUUUUAUAACACUUACAUUUAAAGGUAUAGACAACAUACGGGUAUAGAAGUGGCACAUUAGAUAUUACAUAAAAAUAAGACAAUUGAGAUGUUUAAGGGGUAUGAUAUACUUCCUGGAAUCCAAUUACUCACAGAGGAAUCCUUUACUGGUUUACUCUGGAUAGCAGAGUAAGAAACACUGGAAGUUAUUUAUUAAUGUGUUCUGUUUUUUGUUUUUUUUUAAGUGUUGCCAAGUGCAAAAAUGGAGAAGUCACCAAUGGAAUGAGCUGGUCCCACUGGUGUCCAUGCCGAUUGCUCUACUUUUAGUACUUUAGAUCACUUUUUAGAACAGAACACUCUGAUUAAUAAACAUUAUAAAAAAUGUAAAAUCAGAAGAUCAGUUAACCAUUCAUAUAUGCAGAGACCUGUCACAAACUGUACAUUUAAUUUAAAUAUGUUCUCUAUCAACAGCUCCAUCUUUUGCCAAGGCUAUGAAUUACUCUCAUAUAUGAUAACUGUUUAUACCACUACUAGAUACACCAUCAUACCAAGGGUCUUAAAAAGUCAUGGAUCACAAACCUGAUAUUACAUUAUUCUCACUAUAACACACUGUUCCGUGUUAUUAAAAAUAUGUUUUCUUACUAAUUUGCUGUUUAAAAUGCAAGUUGUACCACACUUAUAGAAAACAAUUUGUCUCCCCAACCAACACUCAAUCAAUUCACAGCAUGUAUGACAUUUAUUAUGCAUGGUGGAUAUGUUAGAUGGGAGUGUGUACAUUAAGCAGCUGUGAAAUAUAUAU